GGGAACGUAUUCACCGCAGCGUGCUGAUCUGCGAUUACUAGCGAUUCCAACUUCAUGGGCUCGAGUUGCAGAGCCCAAUCCGAACUGAGACGGCUUUUUGAGAUUUGCCAAGGGUCGCCCCUUCGCUUCCCAUUGUCACCGCCAUUGUAGCACGUGUGUAGCCCAGCCCGUAAGGGCCAUGAGGACUUGACGUCAUCCCCACCUUCCUCGCGGCUUAUCACCGGCAGUCCCCUUAGAGUGCCCAACUGAAUGAUGGCAACUAAGGGCGAGGGUUGCGCUCGUUGCGGGACUUAACCCAACAUCUCACGACACGAGCUGACGACAGCCAUGCAGCACCUGUCUCCGAUCCAGCCGAACUGAAGGAGUGUGUCUCCACUCUCCGCGAUCGGGAUGUCAAGGG
Molecule: ribosomal RNA, 400 nt
Filed under: uncultured Rhodoplanes sp.
Lineage: Bacteria; Pseudomonadati; Pseudomonadota; Alphaproteobacteria; Hyphomicrobiales; Nitrobacteraceae
Description: partial 16S ribosomal RNA
Source: RNAcentral